This 503-nucleotide ribosomal RNA is filed under the name uncultured bacterium. RNAcentral describes it as "partial 16S ribosomal RNA". It matches the Rfam family "Bacterial small subunit ribosomal RNA", at positions 30 to 523 of the family's 1533-position model. The record is from RNAcentral.
AUUGAACGCUGGCGGCAGGCUUAACACAUGCAAGUCGAGCGGGGUGAUGGUGCUUGCACUAUCACUUAGCGGCGGACGGGUGAGUAAUGCUUAGGAAUCUGCCUAUUAGUGGGGGACUACAUCUCGAAAGGGAUGCUAAUACCGCAUACGUCCUACGGGAGAAAGCAGGGGAUCACUUGUGACCUUGCGCUAAUAGAUGAGCCUAAGCCGGAUUAGCUAGUUGGUGGGGUAAAGGCCUACCAAGGCGACGAUCUGUAGCGGGUCUGAGAGGAUGAUCGGCCACACUGGGACUGAGACGCGGCCCAGACUCCUACGGGAGGCAGCAGUGGGGAAUAUUGGACAAUGGGGGGAACCCUGAUCCAGCCAUGCCGCGUGUGUGAAGAAGGCCUUAUGGUUGUAAAGCACUUUAAGCGAGGAGGAGGCUCUUUUGGUUAAUGCCCAAGAUGAGUGGACGUUACUCGCAGAAUAAGCACCGGCUAACUCUGUGCCAGCAGCCGCCGUAA